ACCACUUUCAUUGAUUGUUCGUCUUAAUUAGCCUUCUUGGUUCAAUAUACAAAAAAGUGUUUCAAUUCAUCUCUUACGAAAGUGGUCUAAAGGCACUGUUCAUAAUCAGCAAUUUGAUUUGCUUUAAUUAAUACAUAUUUGUGAGCUGUGCACUUAGCUAGCUGGAUGCAUAAGUGUUAUUUGGAACGAAUUAAUAGAACAUUUUGACCUUGCAAAUAAAUUUGUUUUCUCCGUGUACAUGGUUAUUUAUAUUCAGGUGUAUUCAAAAAUUCCUGUUAACAUUCAUUCAUAGAAGGGGCCAUUGAGAAAUUGCGGGUCCGUGGACACGGUGCAUGGAAGGGGUCCAUGGACCCAGUCCAUAGAAGGGGUCCAUGGACCGGGGGUCCAUGUUUUGUACUUUUCCAUUAAUCGCAGCGUGUAAGGCAGCAGGAAUUUCUGACCAUUUAAUACAUGUAAAUAAGUAGUACAUUCCAAAAUCAAAACCUUUUACACCUGACGAAUUCCCAAAUCCAAGCUCAAAAACCCUUUACCUUCAAGGCCAG
Non-coding RNA from Paramuricea clavata, 542 nucleotides. The record is from the annotation of a GenBank genome assembly. Lineage: Eukaryota; Metazoa; Cnidaria; Anthozoa; Malacalcyonacea; Plexauridae.